CCUGGUUUUUGGGUUUGGUUUUUUGGUUUUAGUUUUUUCUAGUCGGUUUUUUUAGGAGGCCCUAACUGUCUCCAACUUGUAAGCUUAGUUUAUCCCGCCUAAUGAAUGAAGCAGAUAGCGUGCUAUCUUUUUCUUAAAAAAAAAAAAAAAGUUCCAAGGAUGAUCGAGAACGUAGAGAAUAUAUAUAGGAUGUGCAUGUAUAGUGAAAUUAAAU
This 214-nucleotide long non-coding RNA is filed under the name Ananas comosus (pineapple). Its description in RNAcentral is "long non-coding RNA (ACOM_LNC002671)". The record is from RNAcentral. Lineage: Eukaryota; Viridiplantae; Streptophyta; Magnoliopsida; Poales; Bromeliaceae.